AUGAACGCUGGCGGCGUGCCUAAUACAUGCAAGUCGAGCGAACAGAUGAGGAGCUUGCUCCUCUGACGUUAGCGGCGGACGGGUGAGUAACACGUGGAUACCUACCUAUAAGACUGGGAUAACUUCGGGAAACCGGAGCUAAUACCGGAUAAUAUAUUGAACCGCAUGGUUCAAUAGUGAAAGACGGUUUUGCUGUCACUUAUAGAUGGAUCCGCGCCGCAUUAGCUAGUUGGUAAGGUAACGGCUUACCAAGGCAACGAUGCGUAGCCGACCUGAGAGGGUGAUCGGCCACACUGGAACUGAGACACGGUCCAGACUCCUACGGGAGGCAGCAGUAGGGAAUCUUCCGCAAUGGGCGAAAGCCUGACGGAGCAACGCCGCGUGAGUGAUGAAGGUCUUCGGAUCGUAAAACUCUGUUAUUAGGGAAGAACAAAUGUGUAAGUAACUAUGCACGUCUUGACGGUACCUAAUCAGAAAGCCACGGCUAACUACGUG
This 495-nucleotide ribosomal RNA is filed under the name uncultured bacterium. RNAcentral describes it as "partial 16S ribosomal RNA". It matches the Rfam family "Bacterial small subunit ribosomal RNA", at positions 29 to 507 of the family's 1533-position model. The record is from RNAcentral.